UAAUUCAUGUCAGCCAUCCCACUA
Molecule: transfer RNA, 24 nt
Filed under: Coptotermes frenchi
Lineage: Eukaryota; Metazoa; Arthropoda; Insecta; Blattodea; Rhinotermitidae
Description: partial tRNA-Tyr
Source: RNAcentral